GCAAUCCCAACCCCUACCACUAGGGGGUGGCCUUGCCCUAUAUGCCUCAACCUAACAAUUACAGAUAAAAGAGUCCAAAAUCAGUUCCAUUCUGUAUAAUUCCGUCUUAACAGUGUGCAUGUGACAGCUAUGGCCCAGUCUGGGCUGAGCUGUGCUGAACUCUGUCCAAUUCCUCUAACAUGAGAUUUGGAUCUCAUGUUUUUCCUCUGUUUUCCCUGCCCAGAUCCUCAGCUUCUAUAAGCAAGCCCUAGAAUCAAAACAGAGAAGCAGGUCGGACUCAGGCAAACCUAACAAUUUCUACUUCCAAGCGGAACAAGGAACUUCUAGUCUAAACACCGUUCAGCAUUCUCAAGACUGCACAGAAGGAAACUCUUAGAAGAAUUCAGAUCGGUGAGUAAAACAUGAAUGAGUCUUCACCAAAUCCCCCAGUAUAUCCUAAGCACCUACUAAGUGCUACAUCAGUAGGCUAGGCACCAUGGUAGGGUUACAAUGAUGGGGAAGGCGUUCAUAAUCUAAUUCGGUACUUCUCAAAGUCUCCUCUGAGAGGAAUUCUAGGGAAUAUUAAUAUUGUUUCAAGACAAGAAAGAUUUUCUCAACAGUUAAACAUCAGGAAAUAAGCAAAGAAAUGAAUCAAAGAUAUAAUCCAAGUUUCAGCAGUACAGGACUUUUUAGAUCUUUUAAUAUGUUGAUAUGCAAUGUGAAUGUUUAAGAGAGGGGCACGGUAUGCAGCUUUUCCCCAAAAUUAUUUGAAUACAAUGAGCUUUUUGGUUUGAGCAGCUGGAGGAACUAAUGUUUUUGCAACAUAUGUAGGAAAGCAAUAGCCCAAAUGG
RNAcentral lists this long non-coding RNA (830 nucleotides) under Ursus thibetanus thibetanus. RNAcentral describes it as "lncRNA (ENSUTTG00000022658.1)". Lineage: Eukaryota; Metazoa; Chordata; Mammalia; Carnivora; Ursidae. The record is from RNAcentral.